UGGGUUAAUGGUUGGACUGGAGGAUCUUCAAGGUCCUUUCCAACCGAGAUGAUUCUGUGAUUCUGUGAAUUGGCCCUGCCAGGGCUGCUGGAGCCAAACAAGGAGUGAGGCCCCAGAAGACUUCUUUAAAAUCUUAGGAUUUUUAAACGAGCGCUAUUUUUGAGCUCUUCCCACACACACACAACUCAACAUCUCCGGCAGAUCGCCUCCAGCUGACAACCCUGAGCUCAUGGUGGCUGCCGCCUCCACUCUCCCCCUGCCCUCAAGCUCAUUUCCAUGCUGCUGAGUGCCUGGAGAUUAAUUUUAAAACUUGAAGCUCUACAUAUAGUCAGGUAGUUGGUACAGAGUCGUUGUUAGUGAGCUGAGAUAAAUACUCAAAAGUAGAACAAAUUCUGAGUUAAGAAAUCUGUACACGGAGGUUAAGAUACUAUCCUGGCUGAUCAUUAAUCAUAAACUUCCUCCUCAAGAGAGGUAGGAUCAGUCUGGUUUGAGACUGCGUGUGGAACAAGAGAUUGAAGGAUUUGUUAGACCUUACGUUGUACUAAUCUAGCAAGCAAAGGAUUGGCAAGAUCCAGCAGCUGGAGAUGAGAAAUCAGUGUUUAGCCAGGAGGGCAGUUAACCACUACCUUCAGAGCUGGCAGAUGUUCUGCCAUGUAGGAUCUUUAAAUCAGUAUGCAGCAUCUCUUUCUCUAGAUCCAGUUCAAGCAGAAAUUAUCGUGCUGGAGGCAGGUACCAGUCAGUGAAACGCUGUCAGACUAUAUCAUCAUACGGCCCUCUUGGAGCUUAAAAUCAAGAGGGAUGUUUGAGCAGAGUGUCAGAACAGACUGUCACUUCAUGGACUAAUGGAGAUAAAAAGUCAGCAUGUGCCUGCACAGUGCUUACCUUCGUGCUACCUGCUCCUCAUCUCCCAACAGACACAUCGAAUCAGUCUCUGCAUCCACCUCGUCUUGAUUUUCCAAGGGAAGCAGUUUUGUCGCUGUUUCUCAUGUCUGGAAGAGUCUUGGGGACCUGUGAAGAGAGCUGGGAGCCAUCUGGCUGGUAACACAUCAGGACAGCAGCAGAAGGUCACUUCCCUGGAUAUUGGCCAGGCUGGAUACACCUGAGGGCAAUGUAAAUACAAAUAACAAUAAAACAAUUCAGAAAGGUUAGUGACAAGACUGCAACUGUCCUUCUGGGGCAGCAUGUCUUUUCAUGACUGCUAUGUGAAAU
This 1209-nucleotide long non-coding RNA is filed under the name Otus sunia (Oriental scops-owl). RNAcentral's name for it is "lncRNA (ENSOSUG00000002366.1)". The record is from RNAcentral. Lineage: Eukaryota; Metazoa; Chordata; Aves; Strigiformes; Strigidae.